RNAcentral lists this ribosomal RNA (269 nucleotides) under Strongylus equinus. RNAcentral describes it as "partial 28S ribosomal RNA". It matches the Rfam family "Eukaryotic large subunit ribosomal RNA", at positions 666 to 917 of the family's 3401-position model. Lineage: Eukaryota; Metazoa; Nematoda; Chromadorea; Rhabditida; Strongylidae. The record is from RNAcentral.
CCGAGAAGUGUAACUUGUACGCGAGUCAAAGGGUGGAAAACCCCAUGGCGAAAUGAAAGUAAAGGUCGGUUAACCGGCUGACAUGGGAUCCGUUUUUCGAAACGGCGCACCAUGGCCCUGUCUCGUCUGCAUGCAGAUGGGCAGCGGUAGAGCGUACAGGUUGCGACCCGAAAGAUGGUGAACUAUGCCUGAGCAGGACGAAGUCAGAGGAAACUCUGAUGGAAGUCCGUAUCGGUUCUGACGUGCAAAUCGAUCGAUAGACUUGGGUA